GGACGGGUGAGUAACACGUGGGUAACCUGCCUCAAAGAGGGGGAUAGCCUCCCGAAAGGGAGAUUAAUACCGCAUGAUAAAUAUAAUCCGCAUGGAUUAUAUUUUAAAGGAGAAAUCCGCUUUGAGAUGGACCCGCGGCGCAUUAGCUAGUUGGCAGGGUAACGGCCUACCAAGGCGACGAUGCGUAGCCGACCUGAGAGGGUGAACGGCCACAUUGGAACUGAGAGACGGUCCAGACUCCUACGGGAGGCAGCAGUGGGGAAUAUUGCACAAUGGGCGGAAGCCUGAUGCAGCAACGCCGCGUGAGUGAAGAAGGUUUUCGGAUUGUAAAGCUCUGUCAUCUGGGACGAUAAUGACGGUACCAGAUGAGGAAGCCACGGCUAACUACGUGCCAGCAGCCGCGGUAAUACGUAGGUGGCAAGCGUUGUCCGGAAUUACUGGGCGUAAAGGGUGCGCAGGCGGACAUUUAAGUGAGAUGUGAAAUACCCGGGCUUAACCCGGGCAGUGCAUUUCAAACUGGGUGUCUGGAGU
This 531-nucleotide ribosomal RNA is filed under the name Clostridium sp. HV4-5-A1G. RNAcentral's name for it is "bacterial SSU rRNA". It matches the Rfam family "Bacterial small subunit ribosomal RNA", at positions 100 to 647 of the family's 1533-position model. Lineage: Bacteria; Bacillati; Bacillota; Clostridia; Eubacteriales; Clostridiaceae. The record is from RNAcentral.